CUGGGACUCCUGUGACCCAUGUAGAUACGGUGCUUCCCUCUGACUCGAAGGGUUUGGCCCCCGACCCCGGAACGGCCUGAAGCUUGGACUGUCGGCCCUGCCCUUCUUCUGGGCUGGGAGAAAGGGCAGGCAAGAGGCCUUGGGGGUUGGGGCGGGAGACCGAAGGUGGGGAUGUGCCGCUGUGUACAGCCGACUUGCCUGCCCAUCACCCAAACACCAAGUUCCGCUCGCAGAGGAAGUGAGAGGUGUCCGAUUCGGUCUCCCAGAACGCAGCUGGGCUGCCUGAAACGAGCGCCGCGGCGACUCUGAAGGAGGUGUCAUCCCUGGGCCAGUACAGGAUUGAGUCACAGAAGCCGCCACUCCUGCGUCAAAAAUACUGGGCCAUUGUCCCAGGGAGUUUGGCCCCUCAGUCGUCAUUUCCGACCCGCUCCCUGGAAUCCCAAUGAAGGAAAAAGGGGAGGAAAAGAAGCGGAAACCAGAAUGGCUAAGCAAGCCGAGGAAGACGAGCCCCGGCCAGCUGGAGCAGCACCUGAGUGUGCGACCCCACCCCCCACUGGGGCAUCUUCUCCUUGGUUACAUUCCAGACCCGGAAGCGAAUCCCGGCUGUAUGGUGUCCAAAGACCUACAAUCUGGGGGCAUUCCUUAAUAAAAAGAAUCCAAGAUUCUGAAAACAAACUUAAGUACAAAAGAUUGGAGGCUGGAGAUCCGAGACCAGGGUGCCAGCAUGGUCGGGUUCUGGUGAGAGCCCUCUUCUGGUUGCAGACUGUAGACUUCUCAUUGCAUCCUCUCAUGUGGUAGAAGUAAAUAGGACCUCACAAUGCACCUCUUACCCAGAGAGGCACGAUGAUUGUCUAAGAACACAGGCAAGCUGGCGGAGGCUGUCGGAUGGCGACCUGUGCUCUGGGGCUUUCCUGGGCUUCACUACAGGGGGGAAGAGCGACAUCCAGUGACCCUGAGCUCAGGGACCAAGGUAUGUGGCUUGAAAUCCUAUCUGACAAAAACCAUUUAAACACGUACUGAGUUCAAGGGGAGAGAACAGAGGAAUGAAGGAUGCAAGAACCUAGGAAUCUCGCGGGCCCCACACCAUCCACUGGCCCCCAAGAAGGUGGCACCAGGAACACGGGGUCCACAGCAGGGAACAGCAGCAGGAGCUUGGGAAACCCUUUGAAAAGGGCAGGUAUUCAGCCUACAAGAAGCUGGAGAGCCAUACGACUCCACCUGAACAAGCACCUUUGGUUCAAGAACCAGUGGGCCUAAUGCUCUCCACAGCAGGAACAGCAACAACCACAGCAAUACCUGGGGCACCCAGGCCUCCUCUCACCCAAGACCCUUUCAGGGACCUUCUCCCACCCCCACGACAUCUAGGCACCAAUGAGGGGCGGACUCUGCAGACAGGAGAAGCUCUAGCACUAGGAUGUUACUGAAUUUGUAGGAGAGUCUGAUCCUGAAAUGUCCUGCAGAUUCCGUGGGGAACCCAGACAGGACCGAGGCCGCAGUCUGCAAGCUUCACUGAUGGCACUCUCUGAAGCUGUGGCUUGACUAUCUUCACUCUGUUUACUAUUCCAUAGCGUGAUCGGCACACUAUUUUUUUAAUCCAGUCCACUGUUCACGGUCAUUUGGCUGUUUUCACUUUGCAACCAUGCCAAAUUAUGCUGUGAAUGAUCCCAUCCUCGUCAUUGGGUUUGUGCCCGCAUUGUCGUUGAUUCCUAGC
Molecule: long non-coding RNA, 1711 nt
Filed under: Equus caballus (horse)
Lineage: Eukaryota; Metazoa; Chordata; Mammalia; Perissodactyla; Equidae
Description: lncRNA (ENSECAG00000048112.1)
Source: RNAcentral